CAGAAUGAACUAAAGGAGGAGCAGAUUAAAUCCCAGCAGAAGAUCCAGGAGAAGCAGAAAAGGUGCAGGAGCUGAAACAGACUGUUGAUAUUAUUAAGAUGCGUUCACAGGCAGCAGUAGAUGAUAAUGAGAUGAUCUUUAAUGAGAUGAUCAGCUCCCUGGAGAAAAGGCGCUCGGAGGUGACGGAGCUGAUCAGAGUUCAGGAAAAAGCUGAUCUGAGUCGAGCUGAACAACACCUGAAACAUCUGGAGCAGGAGAUCACUGAUCUUCAGAGGAGAGUCAGUGAUCUGGAGCAGCUUUCACACACCUGAUCACAUCCACUUCCUCCAGAGUUUCCUGUCUCUCUGUGUUUCUCCUGGAUGUGACGACUCACCCAGUCUGUCUCAGAUCUGAAAAAACGAGUCGAGGAAAUCUGUCAGGAGGAAUUCAACAAAAUCCGUCCACAAGAAGUUCAGAUGAGUUUACCAUCAGAACCAAAAAGCAGAAAAGAUUUUCUGCAGUAUUUCUGUUAUCUGACUCUUGAUCCCAACACAGCACAUCCUCAACUCAUUCUGUCUGAGAAGAAGAAGAGUCGUGAUAAGACAAAACUGCGAUACUCUGAUUAUCCAGAGAGAUUGGACUUCUAUGCUCAGGUGUUGUGUAAACAGUAAACAACAGUAAAC
Long non-coding RNA from Silurus meridionalis, 662 nucleotides. RefSeq lists it as uncharacterized. The transcript has 5 exons. The record is from RefSeq and is a predicted model, not a curated record. NCBI's taxonomy places the organism in Eukaryota, Metazoa, Chordata, Actinopteri, Siluriformes, Siluridae.